Molecule: ribosomal RNA, 253 nt
Filed under: uncultured bacterium
Lineage: Bacteria
Description: partial 16S ribosomal RNA
Rfam family: Bacterial small subunit ribosomal RNA
Source: RNAcentral
UACGUAGGGUGCAAGCGUUAAUCGGAAUUACUGGGCGUAAAGCGUGCGCAGGCGGUGAUGUAAGACAGAUGUGAAAUCCCCGGGCUCAACCUGGGAACUGCAUUUGUGACUGCAUCGCUGGAGUGCGGCAGAGGGGGAUGGAAUUCCGCGUGUAGCAGUGAAAUGCGUAGAUAUCUGGAAGAACACCAAAGGCGAAGGCAAUGUUCUGGCUCGUUUCUGACGCUCAGGUGCGAAAGCCAGGGGAGCGAACGGG